GCUGGGCAAGGUGGCGCACGCCUGUAGUCCCAGCAGCUUGGGAGGCUGAGGCAGAAGGAUGGAGAGUUCAAAACCAGUCUCAGCAAAAGUGAGGUGGGCUAAGCAACUCAGUAAGACCCUGUCUCUU
RNAcentral lists this small RNA (127 nucleotides) under Marmota monax (woodchuck). Lineage: Eukaryota; Metazoa; Chordata; Mammalia; Rodentia; Sciuridae. The record is from RNAcentral.